This 497-nucleotide ribosomal RNA is filed under the name uncultured bacterium. Its description in RNAcentral is "partial 16S ribosomal RNA". It matches the Rfam family "Bacterial small subunit ribosomal RNA", at positions 28 to 507 of the family's 1533-position model. The record is from RNAcentral.
GAUGAACGCUGGCGGCGUGCCUAAUACAUGCAAGUCGAGCGAACAGACGAGGAGCUUGCUCCUCUGACGUUAGCGGCGGACGGGUGAGUAACACGUGGAUAACCUACCUAUAAGACUGGGAUAACUUCGGGAAACCGGAGCUAAUACCGGAUAAUAUAUUGAACCGCAUGGUUCAAUAGUGAAAGACGGUUUUGCUGUCACUUAUAGAUGGAUCCGCGCCGCAUUAGCGAGUUGGUAAGGUAACGGCUUACCAAGGCGACGAUGCGUAGCCGACCUGAGAGGGUGAACGGCCACAGUGGAACUGAGACACGGUCCAGACUCCUACGGGAGGCAGCAGUAGGGAAUCUUCCGCAAUGGGCGAAAGCCUGACGGAGCAACGCCGCGUGAGUGAUGAAGGUCUUCGGGUCGUAAAACUCUGUUAUUAGGGAAGAACAAAUGUGUAAGUAACGAUGCACGUCUUGACGGUACCGAAUCAGAAAGCCACGGCUAACUACGUG